UACGGAGGGGGCAAGCGUUAUCCGGAUUCACUGGGUUUAAAGGGUGCGUAGGUGGGUUGGUAAGUCCGUGGGGAAAUCUCCGAGCUUAACUCGGAAACUGCCGUGGAUACUAUCAAUCUUGAAUAUCGUUGAGGUAAGCGGAAUAUGUCAUGUAGCGGUGAAAUGCUUAGAUAUGACAUAGAACACCAAUUGCGAAGGCAGCUUACUACACAGUUAUUGACGCUGAGGCACGAAAGCGUGGGGAUCAAACAGG
Molecule: ribosomal RNA, 253 nt
Filed under: uncultured bacterium
Lineage: Bacteria
Description: partial 16S ribosomal RNA
Rfam family: Bacterial small subunit ribosomal RNA
Source: RNAcentral